UGGGGAAUAUUGCACAAUGGGGGAAACCCUGAUGCAGCGACGCCGCGUGAACCAAGAAGGUAUUCGUAUCGUAAAGUUCUGUCCUAUGGGAAGAUAAUGACAGUACCAUAGAAGAAAGCUCCGGCUAAAUACGUGCCAGCAGCCGCGGUAAUACGUAUGGAGCGAGCGUUGUCCGGAAUUAUUGGGCGUAAAGGGUACGCAGGCGGUUUAAUAAGUCGAAUGUUAAAGAUCGGGGCUCAACCCCGUAAAGCAUUGGAAACUGAUAAACUUGAGUAGUGGAGAGGAAAGUGGAAUUCCUAGUGUAGUGGUGAAAUACGUAGAUAUUAGGAGGAAUACCAGUAGCGAAGGCGACUUUCUGGACACAAACUGACGCUGAGGUACGAAAGCGUGGGGAGCAAACAGG
RNAcentral lists this ribosomal RNA (403 nucleotides) under bacterium. RNAcentral's name for it is "partial 16S ribosomal RNA". It matches the Rfam family "Bacterial small subunit ribosomal RNA", at positions 355 to 776 of the family's 1533-position model. The record is from RNAcentral.